Molecule: long non-coding RNA, 182 nt
Organism: Neopelma chrysocephalum (saffron-crested tyrant-manakin)
Lineage: Eukaryota; Metazoa; Chordata; Aves; Passeriformes; Pipridae
Exons: 3
Source: RefSeq, a predicted model, not a curated record
UCGCUGCUGGAUUCCUUGCGUGCUAUGUGGUCUCUGUCUCCUGGCUUAAGUACCUCCGCCGCCUGUCCCUGCCACGAGGGACGGGCGGCGGGGGGAUGAUCCCAGCCCUGAAAACCUUCGCAGAGCGGCCGGCAGUGACCCCCCAGAAACCCCUCAAACAGCUACAUUCAUCCCCAUAAGAG